UGCGAGCGAGCGCCUCCUGGCGAGCGGCGGCCAGCCGGGCCGCGAUGUUCGGCGACGGCGUGUCGGAUGCCUCGUCCAGCGCGAGCCGCACGCGA
This 95-nucleotide transfer RNA is filed under the name Pandoraea pulmonicola. RNAcentral describes it as "tRNA-Gly(gcc)". The record is from RNAcentral. Lineage: Bacteria; Pseudomonadati; Pseudomonadota; Betaproteobacteria; Burkholderiales; Burkholderiaceae.